RNAcentral lists this unclassified non-coding RNA (293 nucleotides) under Hevea brasiliensis (rubber tree). Lineage: Eukaryota; Viridiplantae; Streptophyta; Magnoliopsida; Malpighiales; Euphorbiaceae. The record is from RNAcentral.
GUCAAGUACAGCAAGUUUUUAAUGACACUUAAAAGGCGUUCUCAAACAGUUUAUAGGCUUUUUCACAAUGAUAAAAGUGGAGUUGUAAAAUGUGCUAUUGAUACAUCAUCUCAAUUAGCUAGACCAACACCCCCACCCCCAACCCCAGGCUUCAAUUCUGUAUAUUACCUUAGCAUGCAGAAGAAGCUGCACCUACAAUCUUCCUUUCUAAUUCAACAUAAGCUAGAAACUAAUAACCAAUCCAAAAUUAAAUUUUUUUAACCAUAAAAAAGUCCAAAAAGCUAACAUAAACA